AGAGUUUGAUCAUGGCUCAGAACGAACGCUGGCGGCGUGCUUAACACAUGCAAGUCGAGUGCGCGGUUGUAGCAAUACAACUGGCGCACGGCGCACGGGUGCGUAACACGUGGGUAACCUGCCCUUUGGUGGGGAAUAACUCCGCGAAAGCGGAGCUAAUUCCGCAUAAGAUCCGCAAGGAUGAAAGCAGCAAUGCGCCGAAGGAGGGGCCCGCGCCCGAUUAGCUAGUUGGUAGGGUAACGGCCUACCAAGGCUUUGAUCGGUAGCUGGUCUGAGAGGAUGAUCAGCCACACUGGAACUGAGACACGGUCCAGACUCCUACGGGAGGCAGCAGUGGGGAAUCUUGCACAAUGGGCGAAAGCCUGAUGCAGCGACGCCGCGUGGGGGAUGAAGCAUUUCGGUGUGUAAACCCCUUUCGAUCCGGACGAAACCCCGCAAGGGAUUGGCGGUACGGAUAUAAGAAGCCCCGGCUAACUACGUGCCAGCAGCCGCGGUAAGACGUAGGGGGCCAGCGUUGUUCGGAAUUACUGGGUGUAAAGGGUUCGUAGGCGGUGCGGCAAGUUGGGAGUGAAAUCUCUGGGCUUAACCCAGAGGCUGCUUCCAAAACUGCUGUGCUUGAGUGUGGGAGAGGGCGCGUGGAAUUGCAGGUGUAGCGGUGAAAUGCGUAGAUAUCUGCAGGAACACCCGUGGCGAAAGCGGCGCGCUGGACCACUACUGACGCUGAGGAACGAAAGCUAGGGGAGCAAACAGGAUUAGAUACCCUAGUAGUCC
RNAcentral lists this ribosomal RNA (771 nucleotides) under uncultured bacterium. Its description in RNAcentral is "bacterial SSU rRNA". It matches the Rfam family "Bacterial small subunit ribosomal RNA", at positions 8 to 796 of the family's 1533-position model. The record is from RNAcentral.